This 381-nucleotide long non-coding RNA is filed under the name Ananas comosus (pineapple). RNAcentral describes it as "long non-coding RNA (ACOM_LNC025752)". Lineage: Eukaryota; Viridiplantae; Streptophyta; Magnoliopsida; Poales; Bromeliaceae. The record is from RNAcentral.
UUAUAUUUUUAUUAUAAUAAUUUUAAGGGGAAACUUCAAAUACCCUCCUGUGGUUUCACACUUUCUCACUUUAAUACCCUGUGGUUUAAAGUGUAUCAAGUUACUACCUUGUGGUUUCGCAAUUUCUCACUUUAGUAUCCUGUGGUUUCACGUGUUUCAAGUUAGUACCGUGUGAUUUUAUUUUUAUAUCAAGUUAGUACCCUGUGGUUUCAAUUUUCUCUUUUUAUUAUCCAUUUCGGGGCAUAUAAUUUAACAAAAUAUUAAACCACAGGGUACUAAAGUGAGAAAGUGCGAAACCACAGGGUAUUAACUUGAUACACUUUAAACCAUAUGAUACUAAAGUGAGAAAGUACGAAACUACCGGAGGGGUAUUUGAAGUUU